GACGAACGCUGGCGGCGUGCUUAACACAUGCGAGUCGAACGGAAAGGCCCUGCUUUUGUGGGGUGCUCGAGUGGCGAACGGGUGAGUAACACGUGAGUAACCUGCCCUUGACUUUGGGAUAACUUCAGGAAACUGGGGCUAAUACCGGAUAGGAGCUCCUGCUGCAUGGUGGGGGUUGGAAAGUUUCGGCGGUUGGGGAUGGACUCGCGGCUUAUCAGCUUGUUGGUGGGGUAGUGGCUUACCAAGGCUUUGACGGGUAGCCGGCCUGAGAGGGUGACCGGCCACAUUGGGACUGAGAUACGGCCCAGACUCCUACGGGAGGCAGCAGUGGGGAAUAUUGCACAAUGGGCGGAAGCCUGAUGCAGCAACGCCGCGUGCGGGAUGACGGCCUUCGGGUUGUAACCCGCUUUCGCCUGUGACGAAGCGUGAGUGACGGUAAUGGGUAAAGAAGCACCGGCUAACUACGUG
This 468-nucleotide ribosomal RNA is filed under the name uncultured bacterium. RNAcentral's name for it is "partial 16S ribosomal RNA". It matches the Rfam family "Bacterial small subunit ribosomal RNA", at positions 28 to 507 of the family's 1533-position model. The record is from RNAcentral.